AUCCCUUCGGGGACAUCCGGUAUUAUUGGAACGAUACAGAGAAGAUUAGCAUGGCCCCUGCGCAAGGAUGACACGCACAAAUCAAUGGUCCAACUUGUUUUG
Molecule: non-coding RNA, 102 nt
Organism: Triticum aestivum (bread wheat)
Lineage: Eukaryota; Viridiplantae; Streptophyta; Magnoliopsida; Poales; Poaceae
Source: Rfam